This 307-nucleotide ribosomal RNA is filed under the name uncultured bacterium. RNAcentral describes it as "bacterial SSU rRNA". It matches the Rfam family "Bacterial small subunit ribosomal RNA", at positions 28 to 334 of the family's 1533-position model. The record is from RNAcentral.
AAAACACUGACGAACGCUGGCGGCGUGCCUAACACAUGCAAGUCGAACGAAGACCAUAGAGGAGCUUGCUUUAAUAUGGUUUUAGUGGCGGACGGGUGAGUAACGCGUGAGGACUUGUCGAGUACAGGGGGACAACAGGUGGAAACGUCUGCUAAUACCCCAUAAGCCUUAUGGUAAAAGGAGCGAUCCGGUACACGAGAGACUCGCGUUCUAUCAGCUAGUAGGUGGGGUAACGGCCCACCCAGGCCAAGACGGAUAGCCGGACUGAGAGGUCGAUCGGCCACACUGGAACUGAGACACGGUCCAG